This 70-nucleotide transfer RNA is filed under the name Camelus bactrianus (Bactrian camel). It matches the Rfam family "tRNA". Rfam says of the family: Transfer RNA (tRNA) molecules are approximately 80 nucleotides in length. RNAcentral also lists the same sequence under 1 other name. The record is from Rfam by way of RNAcentral. Lineage: Eukaryota; Metazoa; Chordata; Mammalia; Artiodactyla; Camelidae.
GGAGGGGCUCGAGUGGUAGAGCACAUGCUUGGCAUGCACGAGGUUCUGGGUUCAAUCCCUAGGACCUCCA